Molecule: ribosomal RNA, 253 nt
Filed under: uncultured bacterium
Lineage: Bacteria
Description: partial 16S ribosomal RNA
Rfam family: Bacterial small subunit ribosomal RNA
Source: RNAcentral
UACGUAGGGCGCGAGCGUUGUCCGGAAUUAUUGGGCGUAAAGAGCUCGUAGGCGGUCUGUCGCGUCGGAUGUGAAAACCCAGGGCUCAACCCUGGGCCUGCAUUCGAUACGGGCAGACUAGAGUAUGGCAGGGGAGACUGGAAUUCCUGGUGUAGCGGUGAAAUGCGCAGAUAUCAGGAGGAACACCGGUGGCGAAGGCGGGUCUCUGGGCCAAAACUGACGCUGAGGAGCGAAAGCGUGGGGAGCGAACAGG